UCAACCUUAUUUUAUUCUGACUGCUAAACAGAAUUGGAAACUAACAUCAUCCUCAGGUAACAGAUAAAGGCCCUCUUUCCCAUUCAUAGGAAGCAAUUUUGGAGGUGGUGGAAGCUACAAUGAUUUUGGCAAUUACAACAAUCAGUCUUCAAAUUUUGGACCCAUGAAGGGAGGAAAUUUUGGAGGCAGAAGCUCUGGCCCCUAUGGCGGUGGAGGCCAAUACUUUGCAAAACCGCGAAACCAAGGUGGCUAUGGCGGUUCCAGCAGCAGCAGUAGCUAUGGCAGUGGCAGAAGAUUUUAAUUAGGUAAGUAAGCACCUUUUUGUGUGUUGACAUAAUUUUUUAAAUUGCUGAUGAACC
RNAcentral lists this small RNA (359 nucleotides) under Pan troglodytes (chimpanzee). Its description in RNAcentral is "retained intron". The record is from RNAcentral. Lineage: Eukaryota; Metazoa; Chordata; Mammalia; Primates; Hominidae.